GAAGGUGGGUGGCCCGCCCCGCCUAGGACAGUCAUGUUUGACUGGGCUUACACACAUUCGCUCACUUACGAAUCGGAACCUUUAUGCGUUGGUAGGCUUUCGACUCAAUCGAAUAGUCGGGCACCAAUAAAAGAAAAAGUUUUCGCACGGGCUCAUCAUCUGAUGCAGAACUUAUUUCAUAACCCCCAUCCGUCACCAAUCA
Molecule: long non-coding RNA, 202 nt
Filed under: Lathyrus oleraceus (garden pea)
Lineage: Eukaryota; Viridiplantae; Streptophyta; Magnoliopsida; Fabales; Fabaceae
Description: Pisum sativum (pea) long non-coding RNA (PSAT_LNC025496)
Source: RNAcentral